Long non-coding RNA from Syzygium oleosum, 626 nucleotides. RefSeq lists it as uncharacterized. Lineage: Eukaryota; Viridiplantae; Streptophyta; Magnoliopsida; Myrtales; Myrtaceae. The transcript is spliced from 2 exons. The record is from RefSeq and is a predicted model, not a curated record.
UGUUGCAAACUUUAGCAUAUAUUAGGAGUGAUGAAGCUGAUUUCAAAUUUCUAUUUCUCAUCAUUAACAAGAAGCUCGUUAUCUUCACAUUAAAACAGUUGCUUUUUAAAGGAGGAGUAAAUUGAUAAACUUCGUAAUCUUUGUAGUACGGCCACUCUUAGCUUACUUGUUCAUCCAACCGUGCUGCGCUUCCAAUACUGCACAGAUGCUUUAAUGUUUUAAUACUCCAUGGUUUCAGGUAUUGUCUUGGAGAUGUAGAAUCUGCCUUCAUCCGCUGCAACAUCAAAGUCACAAGUUCCUUGGAGAUGAGUGGGUAUCAUCCUGAAAUGGUUCGAAGUAUCAGAGGCUUGUUGGAGGACCAAGAAUAGCCGGAAGCAUCAAGAAGGAAUGAUAUGCUCCAGCAAUUGAAAGCAAUCAUUACAAUUGGAAGAGCUUUACACAUUGUUCAGGGUUCUUCCAGGAUGCUCAUUGUCUCAUGCAUCGAUGGACUAGUAGUGGUCCUCCUUACCGUAUGCUAGCGAAGCUAGAUAAACCUAUAUUGAUCACCUAACUUUCUGCACUUGCUGCAAAUUUUUGCUCUAUGUGAGGUACUUUAGAUCGGUAGUAAAGAGUAGCAUAAAUUCAUC